This 268-nucleotide ribosomal RNA is filed under the name uncultured Eubacteriales bacterium. Its description in RNAcentral is "uncultured Clostridiales bacterium partial 16S ribosomal RNA". It matches the Rfam family "Bacterial small subunit ribosomal RNA", at positions 71 to 339 of the family's 1533-position model. The record is from RNAcentral. Lineage: Bacteria; Bacillati; Bacillota; Clostridia; Eubacteriales.
UCGGCCCCGCAAGGGACUGACUUAGUGGCGAACGGGUGAGUAACGCGUGAGCAACCUGCCUUUCAGUGGGGGACAACAGUUGGAAACGACUGCUAAUACCGCAUGAAGCAUAGGGGUCGCAUGAUUCUUAUGCCAAAGAUUUAUCGCUUCAAGAUGGCCUCGCGUCUGAUUAGCUGGUUGGUGAGGUAACGGCCCACCAAGGCGACGAUCAGUAGCCGGCCUGAGAGGGUGAACGGCCACAUUGGGACUGAGACACGGCCCAAACUCC